AUAGAGUGGCGAACGGGUGAGUAACACGUGACCAACCUGCCCCCUUCACCGGGAUAACCCAGGGAAACCUGCGCUAAUACCGGAUACUCCGCAUGGGCCGCAUGGCCCUUGCGGGAAAGCUCCGGCGGAAGGGGAUGGGGUCGCGGCCCAUUAGGUAGUUGGCGGGGUAACGGCCCACCAAGCCCGCGAUGGGUAGCCGGGUUGAGAGACCGAUCGGCCACAUUGGGACUGAGAUACGGCCCAGACUCCUACGGGAGGCAGCAGUGGGGAAUUUUGCGCAAUGGGGGAAACCCUGACGCAGCAACGCCGCGUGCGGGACGAAGGCCUUCGGGUUGUAAACCGCUUUCAGCAGGGAAUAUCGUGAAGGUACCUGCAGAAGAAGCUCCGGCUAACUACGUGCCAGCAGCCGCGGUAAUACGUAGGGAGCGAGCGUUAUCCGGAUUCAUUGGGCGUAAAGCGCGCGUAGGCGGCCCGUCAAGCGGGGUUUCAAAUCCAGGGGCUCAACCUCUGGCCGGACCCCGAACUGGCGGGCUCGAGUGCGGUAGAGGAAGGUGGAAUUCCCAGUGUAGCGGUGAAAUGCGCAGAUAUUGGGAAGAACACCGAUGGCGAAGGCAGCCUUCUGGGCCGCCACUGACGCUGAGGCGCGAAAGCUAGGGGAGCGAACAGGAUUAGAUACCCUGGUAGUCCUAGCCGUAAACGAUGGGCACUAGGUGUGGGGGAGCAUCUCCUCCGUGCCGCAGCCAACGCAUUAAGUGCCCCGCCUGGGGAGUACGGCCGCAAGGCUAAAACUCAAAG
This 795-nucleotide ribosomal RNA is filed under the name human gut metagenome. Its description in RNAcentral is "bacterial SSU rRNA". It matches the Rfam family "Bacterial small subunit ribosomal RNA", at positions 90 to 906 of the family's 1533-position model. The record is from RNAcentral.